GUGCCAGCAGCCGCGGUAAUACAGAGGGUGCAAGCGUUAAUCGGAAUUACUGGGCGUAAAGCGCGCGUAGGUGGUUCGUUAAGUUGGAUGUGAAAUCCCCGGGCUCAACCUGGGAACUGCAUUCAAAACUGACGAGCUAGAGUAUGGUAGAGGGUGGUGGAAUUUCCUGUGUAGCGGUGAAAUGCGUAGAGAUCGGGAGGAACAUCCAUGGCGAAGGCAGCUACCUGGACCAACACUGACACUGAGGUACGAAAGCGUGGGGAGCAAACAGGAUUAGAAACCCGAGUAGUCC
This 292-nucleotide ribosomal RNA is filed under the name Escherichia coli. Its description in RNAcentral is "partial 16S ribosomal RNA". It matches the Rfam family "Bacterial small subunit ribosomal RNA", at positions 505 to 796 of the family's 1533-position model. The record is from RNAcentral. Lineage: Bacteria; Pseudomonadati; Pseudomonadota; Gammaproteobacteria; Enterobacterales; Enterobacteriaceae.